GUCUCUGUAGUGUAGUGGUUAUCACAGUCGCCUCCGACGCGACAGACUCGGGUUCAAUCCCCGACGGAUACU
Non-coding RNA from Penaeus vannamei (Pacific white shrimp), 72 nucleotides. Lineage: Eukaryota; Metazoa; Arthropoda; Malacostraca; Decapoda; Penaeidae. The record is from the annotation of a RefSeq genome assembly.